This 279-nucleotide ribosomal RNA is filed under the name uncultured bacterium. Its description in RNAcentral is "partial 16S ribosomal RNA". It matches the Rfam family "Bacterial small subunit ribosomal RNA", at positions 506 to 784 of the family's 1533-position model. The record is from RNAcentral.
UGCCAGCAGCCGCGGUAAUACGGAGGGGGUUAGCGUUGUUCGGAAUUACUGGGCGUAAAGAGUGCGUAGGCGGCCGCGUAAGUUGGAUGUGAAAGCCCUGGGCUUAACCUGGGAACUGCAUUCAAAACUGCGUGGCUAGAGUAGAAUAGAGGGAAGUGGAAUUUCCGGUGUAGCGGUGAAAUGCGUAGAUAUCGGAAGGAACACCAGUGGCGAAGGCGGCUUCCUGGAUUCAUACUGACGCUGAGGUGCGAAAGUGUGGGGAGCAAACAGGAUUAGAUA